GGGCCCUUAGCUCAGCGGUAGAGCAGGGGACUCAUAAUCCCUUGGCCGUAGGUUCGAAUCCUACAGGGCCCACCA
RNAcentral lists this transfer RNA (75 nucleotides) under Bacillota bacterium. Its description in RNAcentral is "Firmicutes bacterium (anaerobic digester metagenome) tRNA-Ile". It matches the Rfam family "tRNA". Rfam says of the family: Transfer RNA (tRNA) molecules are approximately 80 nucleotides in length. Their secondary structure includes four short double-helical elements and three loops (D, anti-codon, and T loops). Lineage: Bacteria; Bacillati; Bacillota. RNAcentral also lists the same sequence under 1 other name. The record is from RNAcentral.